UACGAAGGGGGCUAGCGUUGUUCGGAUUUACUGGGAGUAAAGCGCGUGUAGGCGGGUCGUUAAGUUGGGGGUGAAAUCCCGGAGCUCAACUCCGGAACUGCCUCCAAAACUGGCGACCUGGAGCAGAGGAGAGGCGAGCGGAAUUCCGAGUGUAGAGGUGAAAUUCGUAGAUAUUCGGAGGAACACCAGUGGCGAAGGCGGCUCGCUGGACUCUUGCUGACGCUGAGACGCGAAAGCGUGGGGAGCAAACAGG
RNAcentral lists this ribosomal RNA (253 nucleotides) under uncultured bacterium. RNAcentral describes it as "partial 16S ribosomal RNA". It matches the Rfam family "Bacterial small subunit ribosomal RNA", at positions 524 to 776 of the family's 1533-position model. The record is from RNAcentral.